Molecule: ribosomal RNA, 465 nt
Filed under: uncultured bacterium
Lineage: Bacteria
Description: partial 16S ribosomal RNA
Rfam family: Bacterial small subunit ribosomal RNA
Source: RNAcentral
GACGAACGCUGGCGGCGUGCUUAACACAUGCAAGUCGAACGGAAAGGCCCUGCUUGCAGGGUACUCGAGUGGCGAACGGGUGAGUAACACGUGGGUGAUCUGCCCUGCACUUCGGGAUAAGCCUGGGAAACUGGGUCUAAUACCGGAUAGGAGCCAUUUUUAUGGUGAGGGUUGGAAAGUUUUUUCGGUGUAGGAUGAGCUCGCGGCCUAUCAGCUUGUUGGUGGGGUAAUGGCCUACCAAGGCGGCGACGGGUAGCCGGCCUGAGAGGGUGGACGGCCACAUUGGGACUGAGAUACGGCCCAGACUCCUACGGGAGGCAGCAGUGGGGAAUAUUGCACAAUGGGCGCAAGCCUGAUGCAGCGACGCCGCGUGGGGGAUGACGGCCUUCGGGUUGUAAACUCCUUUCGCUAGGGACGAAGCUUUUUGUGACGGUACCUAGAGAAGAAGCACCGGCUAACUACGUG